UAGGACGUGCCUGAGGGUGUG
Molecule: unclassified non-coding RNA, 21 nt
Filed under: Chlamydomonas reinhardtii
Lineage: Eukaryota; Viridiplantae; Chlorophyta; Chlorophyceae; Chlamydomonadales; Chlamydomonadaceae
Description: small RNA Cre_2312
Source: RNAcentral